UUUUCGUUAAGUCUGAUGUGAAAGACCUUCGGCUUAACCGGAGAAGUGCAUCGGAAACUAGGAUAACUUGAGUGCAGAAGAGGGUAGGUGGAAACUCCAUGUGUAGCGGUGGAAUGCGUAGAUAUAUGGAAGAACACCAGUGGCGAAGGCGGCUACCUGGUCUGCAACUGACGCUGAGACUCGAAAGCAUGGGUAGCGAACAGGAUUAGAUACCCUGGUAG
Molecule: ribosomal RNA, 221 nt
Filed under: uncultured bacterium
Lineage: Bacteria
Description: partial 16S ribosomal RNA
Rfam family: Bacterial small subunit ribosomal RNA
Source: RNAcentral